AAAUUGAAGAGUUUGAUCAUGGCUCAGAUUGAACGCUGGCGGCAGGCCUAACACAUGCAAGUCGAACGGUAACAGGAAGCAGCUUGCUGCUUCGCUGACGAGUGGCGGACGGGUGAGUAAUGUCUGGGAAACUGCCUGAUGGAGGGGGAUAACUACUGGAAACGGUGGCUAAUACCGCAUAACGUCGCAAGACCAAAGAGGGGGACCUUCUGGCCUCUUGCCAUCAGAUGUGCCCAGAUGGGAUUAGCUUGUUGGUGAGGUAACGGCUCACCAAGGCGACGAUCCCUAGCUGGUCUGAGAGGAUGACCAGCCACACUGGAACUGAGACACGGUCCAGACUCCUACGGGAGGCAGCAGUGGGGAAUAUUGCACAAUGGGCGCAAGCCUGAUGCAGCCAUGCCGCGUGUAUGAAGAAGGCCUUCGGGUUGUAAAGUACUUUCAGCGGGGAGGAAGGUGUUGUGGUUAAUAACC
This 471-nucleotide ribosomal RNA is filed under the name Salmonella enterica. Its description in RNAcentral is "bacterial SSU rRNA". It matches the Rfam family "Bacterial small subunit ribosomal RNA", at positions 1 to 468 of the family's 1533-position model. Lineage: Bacteria; Pseudomonadati; Pseudomonadota; Gammaproteobacteria; Enterobacterales; Enterobacteriaceae. The record is from RNAcentral.